This is a long non-coding RNA of Cyprinus carpio (common carp), 1090 nucleotides long. Lineage: Eukaryota; Metazoa; Chordata; Actinopteri; Cypriniformes; Cyprinidae. The record is from Ensembl.
UAACCAACUUCAUGGUUAAUAAUUAAUAUCUUACUGACCCCAAACUUUCAAAUGGUAGUAUAUAUAUAUAUAUAUAUUUACACUGAAAAUGUUAAUAAUAAAAAAACAUUAUUAAUAAUAAUAACAUUUAAUAUUUAAUUAAUUAUUAUUAUUAUUAUUUAACUAAAAUAUAAAAUGAAUAAAAAUAAAGAGCUAACUUAAAAAGUGUGCAUCGUGUGGUAACAUCAAAAUCUAAAAAGUAUUGUUUAACAUUACUGAAUCAACUUAAAUCAUUAUAUUACACAUUUGUUUUUACAUGAAUUUAAGGGAAGUAAAAUAAUUAAGAUCAGGUAGAAAUAUUAUGGUAGUAGUUAGUGUUUACCAAAUUUUGCAUUGUGUACAGUAUGAGAAUAAUCCUGAAAAUUCUGUGAGCAUGACUAAACCUUUAAAAUAAAUGUCAGAUAAUAUUGUUUUAAAGAAACAGUUCACCUAAAAAUUACAAUUCUGACAUUACUGGGGAACUAUUCCUUUAACAAUUAAUCCUCAAAAUAAAACUGCCUUUUUGGUCAUGAUAACUUGAUAUUCUGACAUAUUCAGCAGCUACAGUCUCAGACAGAAAUAAAUCAAUACCUGGUCAAGAUCAAGCCUCAGGGGUUCAACUCUAUAAUAUCGAGUUAUGACAACCGCACAAUCUAGUUGUCAGCUCACAGCCCAGAUGAAUGUGCAUCUUUAUGAUGCAUCUUUCCCCUUCUAAAGAAAACAAAGAGUGCCAAAUGAAACGGAAAUAAAUGCUGGCAGAUCCUGCAUUGAAAGAGUCUGUCUGAUCCCUCAAGAAAGAGGGUUGCUCAUCUCACAUAUGCAUUGACGAUGCUUUUGGUCUCAUUCCAUGUGUUUUUCCCACAAUUCUCUAAGGACAAUUUCAAAGUUAAAGAGCAGGGCUGUGUAGGCUGAGAAGUGGGUGGCUUCUAUUCUAAAGAUCAGGUCUCUAUUCACUCUUGCAGUUUCCUUGCUGAUGCUGCCUGGCAGUCUGCGGCUGCCCCAUUUGUCCUGUGUUUGGUUGUUAACAAACAGGCUGAGGCAAUCUGAUCCAGAAGCUAUGAAGAGCUGGAAA